Molecule: ribosomal RNA, 439 nt
Filed under: uncultured Opitutus sp.
Lineage: Bacteria; Pseudomonadati; Verrucomicrobiota; Opitutia; Opitutales; Opitutaceae
Description: bacterial SSU rRNA
Rfam family: Bacterial small subunit ribosomal RNA
Source: RNAcentral
GGCUCAAUUCGAUGCAACGCGAGAACCUUACCUGGCCUUGACAUGCAGGAGACACGGUGCUGAAAGGCACCCUUCCUUCGGGACUGCUGGCACAGGUGCUGCAUGGCUGUCGUCAGCUCGUGUCGUGAGAUGUUGCGUUAAGUCGCGCAACGAGCGCCAACCCCUGUCCUUAGUUGCCAUCAUUAAGUUGGGCACUCGUAGGGAGACAAACCCUCUUUGAGGGUGGGAAGGUGGGGAUGACGUCAAGUCAGGAUGGCCCUUACGGCCAGGGCUGCACACGUACUACAAUGCCCGGUACAGAGGGAAGCAAUACCGCGAGGUGGAGCAAAUCCUCAAAACCGGGCCCAGUUCAGAUUGUAGUCUGCAACUCGACUACAUGAAGUUGGAAUCGCUAGUAAUCGCGUAUCAGAACGACGCGGUGAAUACGUUCCCGGGCCUU